RNAcentral lists this unclassified non-coding RNA (351 nucleotides) under uncultured fungus. Its description in RNAcentral is "partial contains 5.8S ribosomal RNA, internal transcribed spacer 2, and large subunit ribosomal RNA". The record is from RNAcentral. Lineage: Eukaryota; Fungi.
AACGCACAUUGCGCCCCGGGCUUCGGCUCUGGGCAUGUCUGCCUCAGUGUCCCGCACAUCUGCACCCUCCUCCUCCCCCGCUCUCCUCGAGCGGAAGGCGGCGCGAGGGCGCGAUCUGGCCGUCUCGACCUCUCUCCUCGCGGGAGGGCGUCGCGUCGGCCGAAGCGGAGCGCGAUCCGGGCCGCGUCCUCCGCGGCCGCUCUCGGAGCUUUGACGGUGACUCUCGGGUCUUCGUUCUCUCAGCUCUCUUGGGCGGUCGCUCGGUGGCGCGCGGCUCGCGUUUGUCGCCAAUGCCAGGAAUUCACUUUCUCAUUGGACCUGAGCUCAGGCAAGACUACCCGCUGAACUUAA